Molecule: transfer RNA, 880 nt
Filed under: Mesorhizobium sp. LuLit12
Lineage: Bacteria; Pseudomonadati; Pseudomonadota; Alphaproteobacteria; Hyphomicrobiales; Phyllobacteriaceae
Description: partial 16S-23S ribosomal RNA intergenic spacer
Rfam family: tRNA (bases 241-314)
Source: RNAcentral
CCUUUCAGUUCUCUUGGAACAAGACGGCAGAAAGUCAUUCUGACCGUCGCGCAUACCUUAAGCGGGUCUGCCGCCUUUCGUUUCUCUUUCUUCAGCGAAUGACUUUGACUUGCGCUCGCGCGCCGCAUCGCAGCCUUUGGCUGCUGGCGCUCCGCGGGGGCGCGGCACAAGCCGCGACGGCCGGUCGGCCUUGCGAGACUUGCGUCUCGUUGGCGAGAGCCGAUUUACGGCGCAGUCUAAGGGCUUGUAGCUCAGUUGGUUAGAGCGCGCGCUUGAUAAGCGUGAGGUCGGAGGUUCAAGUCCUCCCAGGCCCACCACUUCCUCGAUACUCAUCGGGAAACACUAUCAGGGGCCGUAGCUCAGCUGGGAGAGCGCCUGCUUUGCAAGCAGGAUGUCGUCGGUUCGAUCCCGUCCGGCUCCACCACUUCUUCUUCGGAUGAGGGGUGUUGAGUGGAAGUGAGGAAAAAGUCAUUCGUAAAAAGAGUUUGCGUCGGGCUUCGUGCUCUGCGCCUGUUCUGUUUGACAUCGUAAAGAGAAGAUUUGUUCGAACUUCAUGAGCCGCAAGGCUUUUGAUUUGUCGCGGGAGACGCUCAAUCUCCCGCAUAUGAUGGGUUUGCCUAACCGCGCCCUCGAACCGAUCUCGAGAAGCUGGUCUUUUUGUGCCAAUGACAUCGAAGCAGGUCCCGCACAGGAUCUGGUUCAGGCGACAAUCCUUCGGAUUGCGCGGACGCUAAACUCGCAAGGGGGAGGCUGAAGCGACAAUCCCUUCGGGAUUGCGCAGAUGGGCAUUGGCAAUGAGAACGAUCAAGUGUCUUAAGGGCAAUUGGUGGAUGCCUUGGCAUGCACAGGCGAUGAAGGACGUGAUACGCUGCGAUAAGCU